Molecule: long non-coding RNA, 2430 nt
Organism: Pseudophryne corroboree (corroboree frog)
Lineage: Eukaryota; Metazoa; Chordata; Amphibia; Anura; Myobatrachidae
Exons: 3
Source: RefSeq, a predicted model, not a curated record
ACUAAAGAGAGAAGCGUCCGAUCAGGGGGCGGGGCUAAACGGCUGCGUGUGCAGUCAGUCCCUGCUGCCUGCUGUCCAAUGUGGGAAACUGAGGGGAGGAUCUAAGCUGCUGUAGACAUUACGGUGUGCUGCCAUGUGAUGUAUUAAGUGCCAAUGGAGGGACUGACAGAGCGGAUCUGCAGACUAUGAACAUCUAGCGAGGAAGAUUAGCCUCGCAGCUGCAUUCAAAAUGGAUUGUAGUGACCUCCGAUACAAUGCGGCAGGACACAAAGCUGAAAGCACCUACAGAACCAGUGUAAAGGGUGACUACACAAUGCUUAAGAAGAGAUUUGCCUGAAUUGGAAAAUGAAGUACCCACAGCUAACUCACAGUGGCUGCCAGAUAAAACACUUUAAGUUGAUAAAGGAGCAAAGCGUGACAUUUCCAGGGUUGAGCACUGCAUGCAGCUGUAAUUGACAUGCAUUAAUUCUGACAUUUCCUUAAAAAAUGCUGUUUACCUUUCACAGUACCGUCACCUGCCACUUCUGCCUCACUUUUUUACAGCUAUAAGACAAGACAAUGACCUUCCAAUCUAAUUAUCCUUCCAAAGUCUCAUGGGAUCUAUACAAUAGUUAUUGGUAAGCUUUAUUCAAUACCUUCACAUGUGCCAAACAAACAGUAAUUACACCAUUUAUAAGGGCACUUGUGUUGUAUAUUACAUUUUGUGACUUUGUAAUGUGUUUUACAGUCUCCUUGCUCCCCCUUCCGCACAGCUGCUGCUGCUGCUACUAGUACACUGUGAGCAGCGGGCAGUGUGCACUGCGUAAGCCUCCUAUGUACCUGUAUGGAGAGGAGCACACAUGGAUGGCACACAGGUCCCAGCAGCUCUGACACAGGCACUGCAUCCAGCGGCACAGCGUGGUGUGCACACCACUCUUAGCGUCACCGCAGACUCCAUAAGCAAUUCAAUACUGUUCCUACUCUACCCCCGUUGCUGCUCAGCCAAGGAAUUGGGCUGUAUUCUGAUUGGACGAAUUACAUAUUGCACAAGGAGGUGAAUGGGGCCGCUAUACUCAAGAGGCAAACCAUAAAGCACCGGAAACAAAGUGCCAGGUGCGUGGCAGUACAUAACGACAUCGCCCAAAGCACUGGCAGCACCAUACACAUACUUGUAAACACUAGAGAGCCAACAUCAGUGACUAAACUUCCGUCAAAAGAGACAUUCUGUCAGUAACUUCUGCAGCUGGACUUGGUCUCCAGCAAGAUGGCUACUAUACUAUUACUUCUGGUAUCUGGUUUGUUCACCUUUAUAUUACUCUGGGAGCACACAUCUCUCCCUCUGUUGUUUUGUGUGACACACUUCAAACAAGCGUGGGAUCAGUUAGUACCAAGACAACAUGGUUUACAGGAAAUUACUAGAUACGUUACUUAUAACAUUGUAAUUCAGUUGUAGCUUUACAUUAUACAUAUUUUAUAUGUAUUUUAAAAAAAAUGUAUAUAUAGAUAGAUCUAUAUAGAUAGAUAUCUAUAUGUAUGUGCGUGUGCAUAUACAUGUGUGUAUAUAUAGACAAAAAGAUAAUAAAAGGGAGCUCAAAUAUAUAUAAGCCUAUCUUAAUUGCAAUUGUCCGUACGAUACAUAGUAAAGGCAUUUUAUAUUUUCUUCAAACAAUAAAACCGUAUCGGUUUCCCGGAAACGUAAAGCUGGUGCAUGUCCCAAUAGGAAAGAUGUGCCUUCCCUGAAGUUCGUUUAAAUGUGCCACUUGUUUUCAAGCUCACAAACUCUUCAUACAUAGGUAUAUAAUAGCGAUAUUGUAAAUAGACCCUCAUACCGGAAGAAGACACCCCAAAAAAAAGGCAAAAAUACCACUGCUAAAUACAUAUAAUGCUUUUUACAAAUCGAUUGAAAAACUUUGUUAAAACAUAGAAUAACUUUCUGCUUCAUACAUCUCUUGUUGAGAUGUGGUUUAUUAUUUGAAUUGCGAUGGAGGUCGUAACAAGGGAUUAUUCGCAAAGUGAGUGACAGGGGAGUGGUCAGGUAAAACACAGGCGUCAUGGCCGUUCAGAUGGCGUUUUCUGGGCGUGCAUAAAUUAGCACUUUUGAUCUUACUUGCUACUGGAGUGCACUCAGCGUCCAAGGAGAAAAGUUCAGCCUGCGCGUCUUUAAAGGAACGAAGAAUCUGUGUGACAACCUGAUUUGCAAUGAUGGUACCAGUGUUUCUGCAUUUGUAUGUCAUUGAACGAAAAUGAUGAGACAGCAGUGAGCGCCCCUAUGCUCAGGUUAGCUUCUGCCCAUAUUAGCAUAUAAUCGCAAAUGUGAAUGGCAAAAAAUAGCAACAGCAGUAGCAAGAGCAACCACUUCAGAAUUAGCUCCAUAGUCAUUUGUAAAAAUAUAGGACCAGGGCUUGCAAGGAAUGCAUGUUGAAAAUAAUCAUGCCACACAUUAUGCAUUAA